Molecule: ribosomal RNA, 459 nt
Filed under: uncultured bacterium
Lineage: Bacteria
Description: partial 16S ribosomal RNA
Rfam family: Bacterial small subunit ribosomal RNA
Source: RNAcentral
CCUACGGGGGGCAGCAGUGAGGAAUAUUGGUCAAUGGCCGAGAGGCUGAACCAGCCAAGUCGCGUGCGGGAAGACGGCCCUACGGGUUGUAAACCUCUUUUGUCCGGGAGCAAAGCGAGUCACGUGUGACUCAUUGUGAGUACCCGAUGAAUAAGCACCGGCUAAUUCCGUGCCAGCAGCCGCGGUAAUACGGAGGAUGCGGGCGUUAUCCGGAUUUAUUGGGUUUAAAGGGUGCGCAGGCGGAGGUGCAAGUCAGCGGUCAAAUGCCGGGGCCCAACCCCGUACGGCCGUUGAAACUGCAUCCCUUGAGUGCGCGAGAAGUAUGCGGAAUGCGUGGUGUAGCGGUGAAAUGCAUAGAUAUCACGCAGAACUCCGAUUGCGAAGGCAGCAUACCGGCGCGCAACUGACGCUCAUGCACGAAGGCGUGGGUAUCGAACAGGAUUAGAUACCCCUGUAGUC